RNAcentral lists this ribosomal RNA (254 nucleotides) under uncultured bacterium. Its description in RNAcentral is "partial 16S ribosomal RNA". It matches the Rfam family "Bacterial small subunit ribosomal RNA", at positions 524 to 776 of the family's 1533-position model. The record is from RNAcentral.
UACAGAGGGGGCAAGCGUUGUUCGGAAUUACUGGGCGUAAAGGGCGCGUAGGCGGUUCGCUAAGUUGGAUGUGAAAACUCUGGGCUCAACCCAGAGCCUGCAUCCAAAACUGGCGGGCUAGAGUUCUGGAGGGGGUAGCGGAAUUCCUGGUGUAGCGGUGAAAUGCGUAGAUAUCAGGAGGAACACCGGUGGCGAAGGCGGCUACCUGGACAGAAACUGACGCUGGAGGCGCGAAAGCUAGGGGAGCAAACAGG